Molecule: ribosomal RNA, 253 nt
Filed under: uncultured bacterium
Lineage: Bacteria
Description: partial 16S ribosomal RNA
Rfam family: Bacterial small subunit ribosomal RNA
Source: RNAcentral
UACGUAGGGGGCUAGCGUUGUCCGGAAUCAUUGGGCGUAAAGAGCGUGUAGGCGGUCCGGUAAGUCGGCUGUGAAAGUCCAGGGCUCAACCCUGGGAUGCCGGUCGAUACUGCCGGACUAGAGUUCGGAAGAGGCGAGUGGAAUUCCCGGUGUAGCGGUGAAAUGCGCAGAUAUCGGGAGGAACACCUAUGGCGAAGGCAGCUCGCUGGGACGUUACUGACGCUGAGACGCGAAAGCGUGGGGAGCAAACGGG